This 72-nucleotide transfer RNA is filed under the name Camelus bactrianus (Bactrian camel). It matches the Rfam family "tRNA". Rfam says of the family: Transfer RNA (tRNA) molecules are approximately 80 nucleotides in length. Their secondary structure includes four short double-helical elements and three loops (D, anti-codon, and T loops). Lineage: Eukaryota; Metazoa; Chordata; Mammalia; Artiodactyla; Camelidae. RNAcentral also lists the same sequence under 1 other name. The record is from Rfam by way of RNAcentral.
GGAGGUAUGGCUUAGUGGUAGAACGCGUGCUUAGCAUGCACGAGGUCCUGGGUUCCAUCCCCAGUACCUCUG